Molecule: ribosomal RNA, 622 nt
Filed under: uncultured Actinomycetes bacterium
Lineage: Bacteria; Bacillati; Actinomycetota; Actinomycetes
Description: bacterial SSU rRNA
Rfam family: Bacterial small subunit ribosomal RNA
Source: RNAcentral
UGGUAGUCCACGCCGUAAACGGUGGGCACUAGUUGUGGGGACCUUCCACGGUCUCUGCGACGCAGCUAACGCAUUAAGUGCCCCGCCUGGGGAGUACGAUCGCAAGAUUAAAACUCAAAGGAAUUGACGGGGCCCCGCACAAGCAGCGGAGCAUGCGGCUUAAUUCGACGCAACGCGAAGAACCUUACCAAGGCUUGACAUAUACAGGAAUAUGGCAGAGAUGUCAUAGCCGCAAGGUCUGUAUACAGGUGGUGCAUGGUUGUCGUCAGCUCGUGUCGUGAGAUGUUGGGUUAAGUCCCGCAACGAGCGCAACCCUCGUUCUGUGUUGCCAGCAUUUAGUUGGGGACUCACAGGAGACUGCCGGGGUUAACUCGGAGGAAGGUGGGGAUGACGUCAAAUCAUCAUGCCCCUUAUGUCUUGGGCUGCACGCAUGCUACAAUGGCUGGUACAAACGGCUGCAAUACCGCAAGGUGGAGCGAAUCCGAGAAAGCCAGUCUCAGUUCGGAUUGGGGUCUGCAACUCGACCCCAUGAAGUCGGAGUUGCUAGUAAUCGUAGAUCAGCAACGCUACGGUGAAUACGUUCCCGGGGCUUGUACACACCGCCCGUCACGUCACGAAAGUC